GUAACAGGAAGCAGCUUGCUGCUUUGCUGACGAGUGGCGGACGGGUGAGUAAUGUCUGGGAAACUGCCUGAUGGAGGGGGAUAACUACUGGAAACGGUGGCUAAUACCGCAUAACGUCGCAAGACCAAAGAGGGGGACCUUCGGGCCUCUUGCCAUCAGAUGUGCCCAGAUGGGAUUAGCUUGUUGGUGAGGUAACGGCUCACCAAGGCGACGAUCCCUAGCUGGUCUGAGAGGAUGACCAGCCACACUGGAACUGAGACACGGUCCAGACUCCUACGGGAGGCAGCAGUGGGGAAUAUUGCACAAUGGGCGCAAGCCUGAUGCAGCCAUGCCGCGUGUAUGAAGAAGGCCUUCGGGUUGUAAAGUACUUUCAGCGGGGAGGAAGGUGUUGUGGUUAAUAACCGCAGCAAUUGACGUUACCCGCAGAAGAAGCACCGGCUAACUCCGUGCCAGCAGCCGCGGUAAUACGGAGGGUGCAAGCGUUAAUCGGAAUUACUGGGCGUAAAGCGCACGCAGGCGGUCUGUCAAGUCGGAUGUGAAAUCCCCGGGCUCAACCUGGGAACUGCAUUCGAAACUGGCAGGCUUGAGUCUUGUAGAGGGGGGUAGAAUUCCAGGUGUAGCGGUGAAAUGCGUAGAGAUCUGGAGGAAUACCGGUGGCGAAGGCGGCCCCCUGGACAAAGACUGACGCUCAGGUGCGAAAGCGUGGGGAGCAAACAGGAUUAGAUACCCUGGUAGUCCACGCCGUAAACGAUGUCUACUUGGAGGUUGUGCCCUUGAGGCGUGGCUUCCGGAGCUAACGCGUUAAGUAGACCGCCUGGGGAGUACGGCCGCAAGGUUAAAACUCAAAUGAAUUGACGGGGGCCCGCACAAGCGGUGGAGCAUGUGGUUUAAUUCGAUGCAACGCGAAGAACCUUACCUGGUCUUGACAUCCACAGAAGAAUCCAGAGAUGGAUUUGUGCCUUCGGGAACUGUGAGACAGGUGCUGCAUGGCUGUCGUCAGCUCGUGUUGUGAAAUGUUGGGUUAAGUCCCGCAACGAGCGCAACCCUUAUCCUUUGUUGCCAGCGGUUAGGCCGGGAACUCAAAGGAGACUGCCAGUGAUAAACUGGAGGAAGGUGGGGAUGACGUCAAGUCAUCAUGGCCCUUACGACCAGGGCUACACACGUGCUACAAUGGCGCAUACAAAGAGAAGCGACCUCGCGAGAGCAAGCGGACCUCAUAAAGUGCGUCGUAGUCCGGAUUGGAGUCUGCAACUCGACUCCAUGAAGUCGGAAUCGCUAGUAAUCGUGGAUCAGAAUGCCACGGUGAAUACGUUCCCGGGCCUUGUACACACCGCCCGUCACACCAUGGGAGUGGGUUGCAAAAGAAGUAGGUAGCUUAACCUUCGGGAGGGCGCUUACCACUUUGUGAUUCAUGACUGGGGUGAAGUCGUAACAAGGUAACCGUAGGGGAACCUGCGGUUGGAUCACCUCCUUACCUUAAAGAA
RNAcentral lists this ribosomal RNA (1484 nucleotides) under Salmonella enterica subsp. enterica. Its description in RNAcentral is "partial 16S ribosomal RNA". It matches the Rfam family "Bacterial small subunit ribosomal RNA". The record is from RNAcentral. Lineage: Bacteria; Pseudomonadati; Pseudomonadota; Gammaproteobacteria; Enterobacterales; Enterobacteriaceae. RNAcentral also lists the same sequence under 1 other name.